CGUAGGGUGCGAGCGUUAAUCGGAAUUACUGGGCGUAAAGCGUGCGCAGGCUGUUUUGUAAGUCAGAUGUGAAAUCCCUGGGCUCAACCUAGGAACUGCGUUUGAAACUACAAGGCUAGAGUGUAGCAGAGGGGGGUAGAAUUCCACGUGUAGCAGUGAAAUGCGUAGAGAUGUGGAGGAAUACCAAUGGCGAAGGCAGCCCCCUGGGUUAACACUGACGCUCAUGCACGAAAGCGUGGGGAGCAAACAGGAUUAGAUACCCUGGUAGUCCACGCCCUAAACGAUGUCUACUAGUUGUUGGGAGAGUAAAAUCUCUUAGUAACGCAGCUAACGCGUGAAGUAGACCGCCUGGGGAGUACGGUCGCAAGAUUA
RNAcentral lists this ribosomal RNA (372 nucleotides) under uncultured organism. RNAcentral's name for it is "bacterial SSU rRNA". It matches the Rfam family "Bacterial small subunit ribosomal RNA", at positions 526 to 896 of the family's 1533-position model. The record is from RNAcentral.